CAGUAGCCGCGGGAAUACAGAGGGUGCGAGCGUUAAUCGGAUUUACUGGGCGUAAAGCGUGCGUAGGCGGCUUUUUAAGUCGGAUGUGAAAUCCCUGAGCUUAACUUAGGAAUUGCAUUCGAUACUGGGAAGCUAGAGUAUGGGAGAGGAUGGUAGAAUUCCAGGUGUAGCGGUGAAAUGCGUAGAGAUCUGGAGGAAUACCGAUGGCGAAGGCAGCCAUCUGGCCUAAUACUGACGCUGAGGUACGAAAGCAUGGGGAGCAAACAGGAUUAGUUACCCCCGUAGUCCCUGUCUCUUAUAC
This 301-nucleotide ribosomal RNA is filed under the name uncultured bacterium. Its description in RNAcentral is "partial 16S ribosomal RNA". It matches the Rfam family "Bacterial small subunit ribosomal RNA", at positions 509 to 807 of the family's 1533-position model. The record is from RNAcentral.